GAAAGAAGCUGGCCAACGCAAUGGGGGGAACAGAUGGGUUCGUCGAGCGUUCGUGAAUGGAAAGAAUCGCUGCUUUUUCGCUAUUCACGCGGUAUAGUUGUCUGUGACGAUGGUUUUGAAGGUUCCUGAUCGCGGUAGCUGCCUUUCAUUCGGAUAUUUGAGAUGAUACUUAUUCAAAAUGGACAUAAUACUGAUAUCAAAAAGAAUAUCAAAGGAACGUUUAACAAAAUAUUAAAGAAGAACUUAUUCAAUAUUUGUGUAAUAUUGAUAGAUAUUUUUUCAAUAUUACAGAAACUAUACUUCAGCAUUCUAAUGGAAAAUAUCAUUUGGUGGUAGUCUAAUAAUACAAUGGCAAAUAAGUCGCGCUUCUGAACAAAUGAAAAGCGGAAGAACCGACCAAUAAUUCACGGGGUGGUAUCGAUCGAGCACGUGACUCUCCGGCACGAAUUCCAACGUUGUUGAAAAUGAUAUUAAUGACGAUCGACGUCGUCAGGGGAAAGGAAUGCAAUAUCGCCGCCGCUGGUGUUAAUGUAGCCGCUGGCUGCGACCAAUAGAAAAUUCCACGCUGAAGAAGCUUUUACCCGCGUGGUAUCAUGAACACAGCAUUGUCGUCGGAAGGAUUACCAGACAGUUAUUAAAAUAUCAUUCUUCCACGGUGACCCCACAGCCUCCAACAGGGAGAUUCACCCUCACGCGCUAGACGUCAUGGGGGCGACUUCACGUUGGCUGUCUUCCUGCCUCCUUUUCAACGUAGCUGGCGUAACAAUGUGUGUGUUUCGCGUGUCCUUGAAACCAAGGGAGGUCUCCGAUGAUGGCGUGGGUGUAUUCGCAAGUCACGUUUCACAAGGAGUAAAAGGAAAGGAACGUUUAUAAUGCGAGUAAUUGAAAGUUAGUCCAUCCUUAUUCCAAUAGCAACUUUAUAGUAACUACAGAAAGUACCUAUUCGUACAGCAUUGUAUCUAUUAUAGCAUUUAUACGUUGUAAUUACUAGGCUGCGGAUUUUUAUGCAAACGUGUAUUUUUAUGCAGAUAAUUAGAGAUAUAAAACCUACAUAAAGAUUUAUUAUGAGAUGCGUAAAUUUUAUAAUGGCUACUAUACAGCAGAUAUUUUUUAUAUUCAUAUUCAUUAGGUGAAUUUAUAAAUUUUUCAUAUUCGCAUAAAGAUCCGCAGUCUGGUAAUUAAUUAGUUUCCAUUAAUUAGGUUCAAUGUUUCAUUGGAAAAUAAAGGUAUGUGCAAAUACACUUUGUGGCUACUGUAUAUUAAUUAUAUGGAGAAAUUGAAUACAAAGACAACGUAAAUC
Molecule: unclassified non-coding RNA, 1300 nt
Filed under: Bombus terrestris (buff-tailed bumblebee)
Lineage: Eukaryota; Metazoa; Arthropoda; Insecta; Hymenoptera; Apidae
Description: misc RNA ENSBTSG00005022933.1
Source: RNAcentral